GAUGCCAGCACCUGCCUCCCUGACUCUGUCCUCUCCCACAGCUCAUCGGGGCCACAGGCAUCUCCUAUGGCAUGGGUCUGAAGCACAGAUUUGAGGCUGGUGCCCCCAGUGGCCCCCAACACCAAGCUGUUCUCAAAGCUCGUGGGCAGCGCCUUCACCAUCGCUGUGGUUGGGUUUGCCAUUGCCAUCUCACUGGGGAAGAUCUUCGCCCUGAGGCACGGCUACCGGGUGGACAGCAACCAGGAGCUGGUGGCCCUGGGCCUCAGUAACCUCAUCGGAGGCAUCUUCCAGUGCUUCCCCGUGAGUUGCUCUAUGUCUCGGAGCCUGGUACAGGAGAGCACCGGGGGCAACUCGCAGGUUGCUGGAGCCAUCUCUUCCCUUUUCAUCCUCCUCAUCAUUGUCAAACUUGGGAAACUCUUCCAUGACCUGCCCAAGGCGGUCCUGGCAGCCAUCAUCAUUGUGAACCUGAAGGGCAUGCUGCGGCAGCUCAGCGACAUGCGCUCCCUCUGGAAGGCCAAUCGGGCGGAUCUGCUUAUCUGGCUGGUGACCUUCACGGCCACCAUCUUGCUGAACCUGGACCUUGGCUUGGUGGUUGCGGUCAUCUUCUCCCUGCUGCUCGUGGUGGUCCGGACACAGAUGUGAGUCCGCCAUGUUGGUCCCCUCAUUCCAGCUAGUGAGAGAGUGCCACAGGGCUCCCCGCAGCUUUCCCCACAUCUCUGGGGACUUCAGGCUCCUUCGGACCCCUCCGUUAUCCCCUUUUUCUGCCCCCUCUUCGUGCAUUCUCUCUCUCCUUCACAGGCCCCACUACUCUGUCCUGGGGCAGGUGCCAGACACGGAUAUUUACAGAGAUGUGGCAGAGUACUCAGAGGCCAAGGAAGUCCCGGGGGUGAAGGUCUUCCGCUCCUCGGCCACCGUGUACUUUGCCAAUGCUGAGUUCUACAGUGAUGCGCUGAAGCAGAGGGUGAGACGGAGUCCCCAGGAUGGGUGUCAGGCCCCAGCUCCCAGAGAGCUCACCAACCCUUCUCUGAUGUUUGCCUCCAGUGUGGUGUGGAUGUCGACUUCCUCAUCUCCCAGAAGAAGAAACUGCUCAAGAAGCAGGAGCAGCUGAAGCUGA
This 1114-nucleotide small RNA is filed under the name Pan troglodytes (chimpanzee). RNAcentral describes it as "retained intron". The record is from RNAcentral. Lineage: Eukaryota; Metazoa; Chordata; Mammalia; Primates; Hominidae.